RNAcentral lists this ribosomal RNA (465 nucleotides) under Vreelandella stevensii. Its description in RNAcentral is "partial 16S ribosomal RNA". It matches the Rfam family "Bacterial small subunit ribosomal RNA", at positions 338 to 795 of the family's 1533-position model. The record is from RNAcentral. Lineage: Bacteria; Pseudomonadati; Pseudomonadota; Gammaproteobacteria; Oceanospirillales; Halomonadaceae.
CCUAUGGGAGGCAGCAGUGGGGAAUAUUGGACAAUGGGGGGAACCCUGAUCCAGCCAUGCCGCGUGUGUGAAGAAGGCCCUCGGGUUGUAAAGCACUUUCAGUGAGGAAGAACGCCUGGUGGUUAAUACCCAUCAGGAAAGACAUCACUCACAGAAGAAGCACCGGCUAACUCCGUGCCAGCAGCCGCGGUAAUACGGAGGGUGCGAGCGUUAAUCGGAAUUACUGGGCGUAAAGCGCGCGUAGGUGGCUUGAUAAGCCGGUUGUGAAAGCCCCGGGCUCAACCUGGGAACGGCAUCCGGAACUGUCAAGCUAGAGUGCAGGAGAGGAAGGUAGAAUUCCCGGUGUAGCGGUGAAAUGCGUAGAGAUCGGGAGGAAUACCAGUGGCGAAGGCGGCCUUCUGGACUGACACUGACACUGAGGUGCGAAAGCGUGGGUAGCAAACAGGAUUAGAUACCCCGGUAGUC